AGUGAACGCUGGCGGUAGGCCUAACACAUGCAAGUCGAACGGCAGCACAGUAAGAGCUUGCUCUUACGGGUGGCGAGUGGCGGACGGGUGAGGAAUACAUCGGAAUCUACUUUUUCGUGGGGGAUAACGUAGGGAAACUUACGCUAAUACCGCAUACGACCUACGGGUGAAAGCAGGGGAUCUUCGGACCUUGCGCGAUUGAAUGAGCCGAUGUCGGAUUAGCUAGUUGGCGGGGUAAAGGCCCACCAAGGCGACGAUCCGUAGCUGGUCUGAGAGGAUGAUCGGCCACACUGGAACUGAGAAACGGUCCAAACCCCUAGGGGAGGCAGAGGGGGGAAAUUUUGGGAAAUGGGGGAAAGCCUGAUCCAGCCAUCCCGGGGGGGUGAAGAAGGCCUUCGGUUGGUAAAGCCCUUUUGUGGGGAAAGAAAAGCAGCAGGUUAAAACCCCGCUGUUCUGACGGUACCCAAAAAAUAAGCACCGGCUAACUUCGU
This 491-nucleotide ribosomal RNA is filed under the name uncultured bacterium. RNAcentral's name for it is "partial 16S ribosomal RNA". It matches the Rfam family "Bacterial small subunit ribosomal RNA", at positions 29 to 506 of the family's 1533-position model. The record is from RNAcentral.